Molecule: ribosomal RNA, 194 nt
Filed under: uncultured bacterium
Lineage: Bacteria
Description: partial 16S ribosomal RNA
Source: RNAcentral
AUUACCGCGGCUGCUGGCACGUAGUUAGCCGUGGCUUUCUCGAUAGGUACCGUCAAGGUACCGGCAUUUCCUCCGAUACUUGUUCUUCCCUAACAACAGAGUUUUACGAUCCGAAGACCUUCUUCACUCACGCGGCGUUGCUCCGUCAGACUUUCGUCCAUUGCGGAAGAUUCCCUACUGCUGCCUCCCGUAGG